This 155-nucleotide ribosomal RNA is filed under the name Oncorhynchus kisutch (coho salmon). RNAcentral describes it as "5.8S ribosomal RNA (ENSOKIG00005020827.1)". It matches the Rfam family "5.8S ribosomal RNA". Rfam says of the family: 5.8S ribosomal RNA (5.8S rRNA) is a component of the large subunit of the eukaryotic ribosome. It is transcribed by RNA polymerase I as part of the 45S precursor that also contains 18S and 28S rRNA. The record is from Rfam by way of RNAcentral. Lineage: Eukaryota; Metazoa; Chordata; Actinopteri; Salmoniformes; Salmonidae.
AACUCUUAGCGGUGGAUCACUCGGCUCGUGCGUCGAUGAAGAACGCAGCUAGCUGCGAGAACUAAUGUGAAUUGCAGGACACAUUGAUCAUUGACAACUUCGAACGCACUUUGCGGCCCCAGGUUCCUCCUGGGGCUACGCCUGUCUGAGGGUCG